CACACACACACACACACACACAUACAACUCUCUCCUGGACGCUAUAGGAGACAGUCUUACAGGACAUUUCUACAAUUCAAACUACAAAUACGACCGCAUCGUGCUUCGUCAGCCUAGACACAGGGAGGACACGCCACCGUCUAAAAAUACAUAAAGCCCGCGGACCUGGUUGUUGGACACCCGGGGGAAGAGAGCAUACAAGCUGAACUUGAGACAGGGCAAGUGAGGACAGGAGUGAAUGUGGAACAACAUGGCUGUCGAUACUGCAGUCCAGAGAGGAUAUGUGCACAGCCAUGGAGGGAUCAAGCACCGUAAACGACGGAGGUUGCAACGCUUUACCCCGGAUAGCUGAUGGCCGUGGUGUGUGCCAGUUCCCUCAAAGUAUUAGUGGGCUCAUUAUUUUUGGAAUUAAAUAACGUUCCUGCUCAGACGUCAAUUUCAAGGUCGAGGAAACCUGAGAGGACAAGAGCUGACGCAGGAGACAGACCUGAAGCUGCCGGAGAGGAGGUGACCUGUCAACAAUGAAUGACUUUUAUGAAGUCAAUCGACAGCAUUCUUUUGUCAUUUUACCACACACUGUUAGUUAACUCUGCUCUUCUCUCACAUGAGAUCGCAUGUUCUGUAAAAAUAGAAAAAAAUG
Labrus mixtus (cuckoo wrasse) is the source of this 640-nucleotide long non-coding RNA. RefSeq lists it as uncharacterized. The record is from RefSeq and is a predicted model, not a curated record. Lineage: Eukaryota; Metazoa; Chordata; Actinopteri; Labriformes; Labridae. The transcript is spliced from 5 exons.